GGGCCCGCACAAGCGGUGGAGCAUGUGGUUUAAUUCGAUGAUACGCGAGGAACCUUACCAGGGCUUAAAUGUAGUGGGACAGGUCUAGAGAUAGACCCUUCUUCGGACUCAUUACAAGGUGCUGCAUGGUUGUCGUCAGCUCGUGCCGUGAGGUGUCAGGUUAAGUCCUAUAACGAGCGCAACCCCUAUCGUUAGUUGCCAGCGAGUAAUGUCGGGAACUCUAACGAAACUGCCAGUGCAAACUGUGAGGAAGGUGGGGAUGACGUCAAAUCAUCACGGCCCUUACGUCCUGGGCUACACACGUGCUACAAUGGCCGGUACAGAGAGCAGCCACUUCGCAAGAAGGAGCGAAUCUCGAAAGUCUAUCUCAGUUCGGAUUGGAGUCUGCAACUCGACUCUAUG
Molecule: ribosomal RNA, 402 nt
Filed under: uncultured bacterium
Lineage: Bacteria
Description: bacterial SSU rRNA
Rfam family: Bacterial small subunit ribosomal RNA
Source: RNAcentral